Molecule: transfer RNA, 84 nt
Filed under: Methanomassiliicoccales archaeon
Lineage: Archaea; Methanobacteriati; Thermoplasmatota; Thermoplasmata; Methanomassiliicoccales
Also listed under: 1 other name
Description: tRNA-Ser
Rfam family: tRNA
About the family: Transfer RNA (tRNA) molecules are approximately 80 nucleotides in length. Their secondary structure includes four short double-helical elements and three loops (D, anti-codon, and T loops). Further hydrogen bonds mediate the characteristic L-shaped molecular structure. tRNAs have two regions of fundamental functional importance: the anti-codon, which is responsible for specific mRNA codon recognition, and the 3' end, to which the tRNAs corresponding amino acid is attached (by aminoacyl-tRNA synthetases). tRNAs cope with the degeneracy of the genetic code in two manners: having more than one tRNA (with a specific anti-codon) for a particular amino acid; and 'wobble' base-pairing, i.e. permitting non-standard base-pairing at the 3rd anti-codon position.
Source: RNAcentral
GCGGGGAUGGCCCAGCCCGGUAAGGCGAUGGAUUGCUAAUCCAUUGUUCGGAAGAACUCGGGGGUUCAAAUCCCCCUCCCCGCG